Molecule: long non-coding RNA, 736 nt
Organism: Cannabis sativa
Lineage: Eukaryota; Viridiplantae; Streptophyta; Magnoliopsida; Rosales; Cannabaceae
Exons: 3
Source: RefSeq, a predicted model, not a curated record
UUAGUUUCAAGGAGAGGGGUUUCUAAUAGUUUCUAAAGACUUAAUAAUUUUGUUGGCAUUAUUUGAUUUUAUUAUUUUUCUUGUUUUAAAAUUUAAUUGGGUUGAUGUGCCAAAUAGGGGGAAUUAAGUUGCAUUUUCUUCAUCUCAACCAGCAUCCAUGGGAUCGCCAACUUUUGUUUUUGGAUUUUCUUAUUUGGGGUUUCAGGUUUUCUUUUAAAUUCUCUCCAAUUUCAUCAAGGGAAUUAAGUUUAGUUUUCCUCGUGAAAAAAUCAUAUGUGACAAGCCAACAUGCAGCAAAGAAGGAUUUCUUACACCACGUGCUAUAGCAUAUGUUGAACUUGAUGACAAUACAAAGAGCCUAUCUGCUGUCAUGUUCGCAGAUAUUGUAGAAAAAAUAUUUUCGUGUAAUGCUGCUCAACUAAUGAAAUAUACUGCAGAGGAAUACCGCCGCUUUGUCGACACUACCAUAUUCAAUUUAUCAAAGAAAAAAUGGAUAAUCCAGAUAUAUGCGGACCCGGCUAGAAUGAAAAGUACAAAAUACAAAAAUUACACUAUUGUCUCUAUCAAAGAAAAUGAAGAUUGAAAUCCACCAAUGACUAUCAUUAGUUUUCUUAUCUACAAUUUUUAGACUAAUGCUAUCUUCAAUUAUCAACAAUUUAGAGAUUAAUUUUUAAUUUUCUUUUUAUCUUACCCCUAAUUAAGUAAUGUUUUUUAUGUAUUGGAACAUCAAUUUUUA